Molecule: transfer RNA, 65 nt
Filed under: Cucujoidea sp. 35 KM-2017
Lineage: Eukaryota; Metazoa; Arthropoda; Insecta; Coleoptera
Description: tRNA-Pro
Source: RNAcentral
CAGAGAAUAGUUUAAUUAAGAAUUUUAAUUUUGGAGAUUAAAGGAGGGUUGUUUCUCUUCUCUGA